GCGUAAAGAAGAAGGACUUUACGGCUAUGCAACGGAUACGUCAGGAUGACCACGGAUUUUUCUACAAGUUCUUUCGCAAGGCGCCGCAGCUCUUGGACAAGCUAUUGAGCUUUUUAGCAGAGGACCUCACACGGCAGCACCACAUUCGAGAAACCCCUGCCUGGAGAAUGACUUGCUGUAGCAUUGAGAAGCAAUGCUUCCUAACAUAUCCAGCCUACGACUGCCUGCUGAAGCCAGCGAUGCUCCUGACUGCGGACUGCUGUGGUGUGCCUCAGAAUCCUCAGGAACCAGAACUUCUUGAAACAUCAGUGAUUCAAGAGAU
Non-coding RNA from Dermacentor albipictus, 322 nucleotides. The record is from RefSeq and is a predicted model, not a curated record. Lineage: Eukaryota; Metazoa; Arthropoda; Arachnida; Ixodida; Ixodidae.